AGUGAACGCUGGCGGUAGGCCUAACACAUGCAAGUCGAACGGCAGCACAGUAAGAGCUUGCUCUUACGGGUGGCGAGUGGCGGACGGGUGAGGAAUACAUCGGAAUCUACUUUUUCGUGGGGGAUAACGUAGGGAAACUUACGCUAAUACCGCAUACGACCUACGGGUGAAAGCAGGGGAUCUUCGGACCUUGCGCGAUUGAAUGAGCCGAUGUCGGAUUAGCUAGUUGGCGGGGUAAGGGCCCACCAAGGCGCCGAUCCGUAGCUGGUCUGAGAGAAUGAUCAGCCACACUGGAACUGAGACACGGUCCAGACUCCUACGAGAGGCAGCAGUGGGGAAUAUUGGACAAUGGGCGCAAGCCUGAUCCAGCCAGACCGCGUGGGUGAAGAAGGCCUUGGGGUUGUAAAGACCUUUUGUUGGGAAAGAAAAGCAUCAGGUUAAUACCCCGCUGUUCUGACGGUACCCAAAGAAUAAGCACCGGCUAACUUCGUG
This 492-nucleotide ribosomal RNA is filed under the name uncultured bacterium. Its description in RNAcentral is "partial 16S ribosomal RNA". It matches the Rfam family "Bacterial small subunit ribosomal RNA", at positions 29 to 507 of the family's 1533-position model. The record is from RNAcentral.